This 324-nucleotide long non-coding RNA is filed under the name Brassica rapa (field mustard). Its description in RNAcentral is "long non-coding RNA (BRAP_LNC004368)". The record is from RNAcentral. Lineage: Eukaryota; Viridiplantae; Streptophyta; Magnoliopsida; Brassicales; Brassicaceae.
AGUUGUACUAUCCAUUAGAGAUACACCAUGAAUGAAAAUGUUUUUCAAGCUUGCAUUUUCAAGAAUCCCAUUAUAUUCUUAAUUAACCUAGUCCAAUAUAAUCAUUGAUAAAUCAUUAUAAAUUCUGAAAGACCAAUCUAACAUUGGAGGAGAUGAUGAUGAUUAAUCCAAUAAGAACAUCAAUCAAACUGAUUCCACACAUACUUAAAACAAUCUUAAUCGCUGGAAACAGAAGAGCUCAUAAAUUACCGCCACAUGCGUCGGGGAGCUUGAAACAACACAUCGCUAAAACCUCCCCGACAAAACUUGGAGGCAAGACCGCCG